AAGCAGAUUUUCCCCCAGAGCAUCCAGAUAAGAACUCAGUCCACUCAACAUCUUCAGCUUUGUGAUAUUCCAGGCAUAUUGUGCUGAACUUCUGACUUACAGAACUGUGAGUUAAUAAAUGAGUGUUGUUUUAAGCCACUAUAUAACUCAUUUUGUAUUUUCUGAUGUUACUCAGUUAUUCAUGAAAGUAGUCAGUUUUUUUCUUGUAAAUUUGUUUGAGUUCUUUUCAUUAUGGAUAUUAGCCCUUUGUCAGAUGAGUAGAUUGCAAAAAUUUUCUCCCAUUCUGUAGGUUGCCUGUUCACUCUGAUGGUAGUUUCCUUUGCUAUGCAGAAGCUCUUUAGCUUAAUUAGAUCCCAUUUGUCAAUUUUGGCUUUUGUUGCCAUUGCUUUUUGUGUUUUAGACAUGAAGUCCUUGCCCAUGCCUAUGUCCUGAAUGGUAAUGCCUAGGUUUUCUUCUAGGGUUUUUGUGGUUUUAGGUCUAACAUUAAAGUCUUAAAUCCACCUGGAAUUAAUUUUUGUAUAAGGUGUAAGGAAGGGAUCCAGUUUCAGCUUUCAAGACAUAUGCACACGUAUGUUUACUGCGGCACUACUCACAAUAGCAAAGACUUGGAACCAACCCAAAUGUCCAACAACGAUAGACUGGAUUAAGAAAAUGUGGCACAUAUACACCAUGGAAUACAAUGCAGCCAUAAAAAAUGAUGAGUUCAUGUCUUUUGUAGGGACAUGGAUGAAGCUGGAAACCAUCAUUCUCAGCAAACUAUCACAAGGACAAAAAACCAAACACCGCAUGUUCUCACUCAUAGUUGGGAAUUGAACAAUGAGGACACUUGGACACAGGAAGGGGAACAUCACACACCGGGACCUGUUGUGGGGUGGGGGGACGGGGAAGGGAUAGCAUUAGGAGAUAUACCUAAUGUAAAUGACGAGUUAAUGGGUGCAGCACACCAACAUGGCACAUGUAU
Molecule: long non-coding RNA, 961 nt
Filed under: Homo sapiens (human)
Lineage: Eukaryota; Metazoa; Chordata; Mammalia; Primates; Hominidae
Description: non-protein coding lnc-ARSJ-1:8
Source: RNAcentral